AAGACCUUACUUCAUAGGAUCAUUUUUAUAGUUAGUUCUUCACGAGACACGUGUAUAGUUAAACAAGGAUAAUAUCUGGUCUUGU
Papilio machaon (common yellow swallowtail) is the source of this 85-nucleotide small nucleolar RNA. RefSeq annotates it as small nucleolar RNA U3. The record is from RefSeq and is a predicted model, not a curated record. Lineage: Eukaryota; Metazoa; Arthropoda; Insecta; Lepidoptera; Papilionidae. The transcript has a single exon.